This 468-nucleotide ribosomal RNA is filed under the name uncultured bacterium. Its description in RNAcentral is "partial 16S ribosomal RNA". It matches the Rfam family "Bacterial small subunit ribosomal RNA", at positions 28 to 507 of the family's 1533-position model. The record is from RNAcentral.
GACGAACGCUGGCGGCGUGCUUAACACAUGCAAGUCGAACGGAAAGGCCCUGCUUUUGUGGGGUGCUCGAGUGGCGAACGGGUGAGUAACACGUGAGUAACCUGCCCUUGACUUUGGGAUAACUUCAGGAAACUGGGGCUAAUACCGGAUAGGAGCUCCUGCUGCAUGGUGGGGGUUGGAAAGUUUCGGCGGUUGGGGAUGGACUCGCGGCUUAUCAGCUUGUUGGUGGGGUAGUGGCUUACCAAGGCUUUGACGGGUAGCCGGCCUGAGAGGGUGACCGGCGACAUUGGGACUGUGAGACGGCCCAGACGCCUACGGGGGACAGCAGUGGGGAAUAUUGCACAAUGGGCGCAAGCGUGUGGCGGCAACGCCGCGGGUGGGAGGACGGCCUUUGGGGGGUGAACCGCUUUCGCCUGUGACGAAGCGUGUGUGACGGUAAUGGGUAAAGAAGCACCGGCUAACUACGUG